RNAcentral lists this ribosomal RNA (348 nucleotides) under Triticum aestivum (bread wheat). RNAcentral's name for it is "partial small subunit ribosomal RNA". Lineage: Eukaryota; Viridiplantae; Streptophyta; Magnoliopsida; Poales; Poaceae. The record is from RNAcentral.
AUGCCUUUUGGUUUAACUAAUGCACCUAGUACUUUCAUGAGAUUAAUGAACGAAGUUUUACGUGCUUUCAUUGGACGAUUUGUGGUAGUUUACUUUGAUGACAUAUUGAUUUAUAGCAGAUCUUUGGAGGAACAUUUGGAACAUUUAUAUGAUGUUUUUAUUGCUCUACGUGAUGCACGUUUGUUUGGUAACCUUGGGAAGUGCACCUUUUGCACCGACCGAGUAUCUUUUCUUGGCUAUGUUGUUACUCCACAGGGAAUUGAAGUUGAUAAAUCCAAGAUUGAAGCUACUGAGAGUUGGCCGCAGCCCAAAACGGUCACACAAAUUCUUGAUUUUAAUAAGACUUUU